RNAcentral lists this transfer RNA (84 nucleotides) under Endocarpon pusillum Z07020. It matches the Rfam family "tRNA". Rfam says of the family: Transfer RNA (tRNA) molecules are approximately 80 nucleotides in length. Their secondary structure includes four short double-helical elements and three loops (D, anti-codon, and T loops). Further hydrogen bonds mediate the characteristic L-shaped molecular structure. tRNAs have two regions of fundamental functional importance: the anti-codon, which is responsible for specific mRNA codon recognition, and the 3' end, to which the tRNAs corresponding amino acid is attached (by aminoacyl-tRNA synthetases). tRNAs cope with the degeneracy of the genetic code in two manners: having more than one tRNA (with a specific anti-codon) for a particular amino acid; and 'wobble' base-pairing, i.e. permitting non-standard base-pairing at the 3rd anti-codon position. The record is from Rfam by way of RNAcentral. Lineage: Eukaryota; Fungi; Ascomycota; Eurotiomycetes; Verrucariales; Verrucariaceae.
GGUCGUAUAGUGUAGUGGUUAUCACCCCGGAUUUUGAUUUAGAACAGAAUUCCGGUGACCCCGGUUCGACUCCGGGUAUGACCA